AAGAACGCCGGCGGCGUGCCUAACACAUGCAAGUCGAGCGCGAAUGGAGCAAUCCUAGUAGAGCGGCGCACGGGUGAGUAACACGUGGGUAAUCUGCCUGGAAGAUCGGGACAACCUGCCGAAAGGCUGGCUAAUACCGGAUAAGCCCACGGGGUCCUCGGACCUCGAGGGAAAAGAUGGCCUCUGCAUGCAAGCUAUCACUUCCAGAUGAGCCCGCGGCCCAUCAGCUAGUUGGCGGGGUAAUGGCCCACCAAGGCUACGACGGGUAGCUGGUCUGAGAGGACGAUCAGCCACACUGGAACUGAGACACGGUCCAGACUCCUACGGGAGGCAGCAGUGGGGAAUUUUGCGCAAUGGGCGAAAGCCUGACGCAGCAACGCCGCGUGUGUGAUGAAGGUCUUCGGAUCGUAAAGCACUUUCGACCGGGACGAAAACCCGCUGGCUAACAUCCAGCGGUUUGACGGUACCGGGAGAAGAAGC
RNAcentral lists this ribosomal RNA (480 nucleotides) under uncultured bacterium. RNAcentral describes it as "bacterial SSU rRNA". It matches the Rfam family "Bacterial small subunit ribosomal RNA", at positions 31 to 491 of the family's 1533-position model. The record is from RNAcentral.